GGGAUUGUGGCUCAGUGGUUGAGUGCUUGCUUAGUAUGCAGGAAGCCCUGGGUUUAAUCCCCAGCACCCG
RNAcentral lists this transfer RNA (70 nucleotides) under Marmota marmota marmota (Alpine marmot). It matches the Rfam family "tRNA". From Rfam's summary of the family: Transfer RNA (tRNA) molecules are approximately 80 nucleotides in length. Their secondary structure includes four short double-helical elements and three loops (D, anti-codon, and T loops). Further hydrogen bonds mediate the characteristic L-shaped molecular structure. tRNAs have two regions of fundamental functional importance: the anti-codon, which is responsible for specific mRNA codon recognition, and the 3' end, to which the tRNAs corresponding amino acid is attached (by aminoacyl-tRNA synthetases). tRNAs cope with the degeneracy of the genetic code in two manners: having more than one tRNA (with a specific anti-codon) for a particular amino acid; and 'wobble' base-pairing, i.e. permitting non-standard base-pairing at the 3rd anti-codon position. Lineage: Eukaryota; Metazoa; Chordata; Mammalia; Rodentia; Sciuridae. RNAcentral also lists the same sequence under 1 other name. The record is from Rfam by way of RNAcentral.